Long non-coding RNA from Eriocheir sinensis (Chinese mitten crab), 493 nucleotides. RefSeq lists it as uncharacterized. The record is from RefSeq and is a predicted model, not a curated record. The transcript is spliced from 5 exons. NCBI's taxonomy places the organism in Eukaryota, Metazoa, Arthropoda, Malacostraca, Decapoda, Varunidae.
AGGACGAGGAGCGUGCGGCGACUCCAAUCAUUCUUGACGACGAGGAGCGUGCGGCGACUCCAAUCAUUCUUGACGGGAGUGAUGACAAAGGACACGAUGGACCGGAUGGCAAAGCAGAAAUGAGAGAUCUGACACGAGACUUCAUGGAAACCAAUCCUAGUGUUGUGAACGGCCACCAAGUCUUUGAAGGAGACAUGGUCUUGACGGAGAGCCAGUGGCGAGCGGUCAGGGAGAGGAAGGCCCUUGCAGACCUCUCAGCGCGCUGGCCUGAACAGGGCGGCUUCCCCACCGUGCCCUACUACCUCGACACUACCGACUCCGUCACUGUGGCUGCCAUAAAUGCAGCGAUUGCUCACUGGGAGCAAAACACCUGCAUCAGAUUCCAGCUCACGUCCAACCUCGCUCAACGGCACGUCAGGUUUUUUGAAGGGUCUGGAUGCUGGUCGUAUGUCGGCAUGUUGGCCCAGAAUAGACAAGACAUUUCCAUUGGAAG